Triticum aestivum (bread wheat) is the source of this 135-nucleotide non-coding RNA. The record is from Rfam. NCBI's taxonomy places the organism in Eukaryota, Viridiplantae, Streptophyta, Magnoliopsida, Poales, Poaceae.
UUACUACUCCCUCCGUCCGGAAAUACUUGUCAUCAAAAUGGAUAAAGGGGGAUGUAUCUAGAUGUAUUUUAGUUCUAGAUACAUCUCUUUUUAUCCAUUUUGAUGACAAGUAUUUUUGGACGGAGGGAGUAGAAG